This is a non-coding RNA of Potamilus streckersoni, 74 nucleotides long. The record is from the annotation of a GenBank genome assembly. NCBI's taxonomy places the organism in Eukaryota, Metazoa, Mollusca, Bivalvia, Unionida, Unionidae.
GCUCCGGUGGCCUAGUGGUUAGAGCGUCCGCUCCGGAUGCUGGAGGUCGUGGGUUAGAUCCCCGGCCAAAGACU